UUGCUAUGAUGAGUUAAUUUUCCUGAAAUGCAUGUGAUGAAUAUUUCUUUACGAGCUUUUUAACUCUGAGCAAA
Small nucleolar RNA from Argiope bruennichi, 74 nucleotides. Lineage: Eukaryota; Metazoa; Arthropoda; Arachnida; Araneae; Araneidae. The record is from RefSeq and is a predicted model, not a curated record.